CCUACGGGUGGCAGCAGUGGGGAAUAUUGGGCAAUGGGCGCAAGCCUGACCCAGCAACGCCGCGUGAAGGAAGAAUGCUUUCGGGUUGUAAACUUCUUUUCUCAGGGACGAAGAAAGUGACGGUGCCUGAGGAAUAAGCCACGGCUAACUACGUGCCAGCAGCCGCGGUAAUACGUAGGUGGCAAGCGUUAUCCGGAUUUAUUGGGUGUAAAGGGUGUGUAGGCGUGAGUGCAAGUCAGAUGUGAAAACUCAGGGCUUAAACCUCAGCCUGCCUUUGAAACUGUGGUUCUUGAGUGCUGGAGAGGUAAUCGGAAUUCGGGGUGUAGCGGUGAAAUGCGUAGAUAUACGGAGGAACACCAGUGGCGAAGGCGGAUUGCUGGACAGUAACUGACGCUGAGGCGCGAAAGCGUGGGGAGCAAACAGGAUUAGAUACCCUGGUAGUC
This 443-nucleotide ribosomal RNA is filed under the name uncultured bacterium. Its description in RNAcentral is "partial 16S ribosomal RNA". It matches the Rfam family "Bacterial small subunit ribosomal RNA", at positions 338 to 795 of the family's 1533-position model. The record is from RNAcentral.